GAGAACUUAGCAGAGAUGCUUUGGUGCCUUCGGGAACCCUGAGACAGGUGCUGCAUGGCUGUCGUCAGCUCGUGUUGUGAAAUGUUGGGUUAAGUCCCGCAACGAGCGCAACCCUUAUCCUUUGUUGCCAGCGGUUCGGCCGGGAACUCAAAGGAGACUGCCGGUGAUAAACCGGAGGAAGGUGGGGAUGACGUCAAGUCAUCAUGGCCCUUACGGCCAGGGCUACACACGUGCUACAAUGGCGCAUACAAAGAGAAGCGACCUCGCGAGAGCAAGCGGACCUCAUAAAGUGCGUCGUAGUCCGGAUUGGAGUCUGCAACUCGACUCCAUGAAGUCGGAAUCGCUAGUAAUCGUAGAUCAGAAUGCUACGGUGAAUACGUUCCCGGGCCUUGUACACACCGCCCGUCACACCAUGGGAGUGGGUUGCAAAAGAAGUAGGUAGCUUAACCUUCGGGAGGGCGCUUACCACUUUGUGAUUCAUGACUGGGGUGAAGUCGUAACAAGGUAGGCGUAGCGAG
Molecule: ribosomal RNA, 518 nt
Filed under: uncultured bacterium
Lineage: Bacteria
Description: bacterial SSU rRNA
Rfam family: Bacterial small subunit ribosomal RNA
Source: RNAcentral